Molecule: ribosomal RNA, 485 nt
Filed under: uncultured bacterium
Lineage: Bacteria
Description: bacterial SSU rRNA
Rfam family: Bacterial small subunit ribosomal RNA
Source: RNAcentral
GACGACGCUGGCGGCGUGGAUUAGGCAUGCAAGUCGAACGGUAUAAACCUUUCGGGGGUGAGAGAGUGGCGAACUGGUGAGUAACACGUAGGUUAUCUACCCUCAAGACGGGACAACCCAGGGAAACUUGGGCUAAUACCGGAUGUGAGCAACUUUUAGUUGUUUGAAAGGUGGCGUAAGCUGUCGCUUGGGGAUGAGCCUGCGUCCUAUUAGUUAGUUGGUGAGGUAACGGCUCACCUAGGCAAUGAUAGGUAGGCGGCCUUAACGGGUGGUCGCCCACACUGGGAUUGAGAUACGGCCCAGACUCCUACGGGAGGCAGCAGUCGAGAAUAGUCUACAAUGGUCGGAAGACUGAUAGUGCGACGCCGCGUGAACGAUGAAUCCCUUCGGGGUGUAAAGUUCUUUUAUAUGUGAGCAGUGCUUCUUAUAUUAACAGUAUGGGGAGAGAGAUAUUAGCAUAUGAAUAAGCAACGGCUAACUCCGUG